GUGGGGAAUAUUGCACAAUGGGCGAAAGCCUGAUGCAGCAACGCCGCGUGAGCGAUGAAGGCCUUCGGGUCGUAAAGCUCUGUCCUCAAGGAAGAUAAUGACGGUACUUGAGGAGGAAGCCCCGGCUAACUACGUGCCAGCAGCCGCGGUAAUACGUAGGGGGCUAGCGUUAUCCGGAAUUACUGGGCGUAAAGGGUGCGUAGGUGGUUUCUUAAGUCAGAGGUGAAAGGCUACGGCUCAACCGUAGUAAGCCUUUGAAACUGGGAAACUUGAGUGCAGGAGAGGAGAGUGGAAUUCCUAGUGUAGCGGUGAAAUGCGUAGAUAUUAGGAGGAACACCAGUUGCGAAGGCGGCUCUCUGGACUGUAACUGACACUGAGGCACGAAAGCGUGGGGAGCAAACAGGAUUAGAAACCCUAGUAGUCC
This 424-nucleotide ribosomal RNA is filed under the name uncultured bacterium. RNAcentral describes it as "bacterial SSU rRNA". It matches the Rfam family "Bacterial small subunit ribosomal RNA", at positions 354 to 796 of the family's 1533-position model. The record is from RNAcentral.